CAGUAGCCGCGGUAAUACGUAGGUGGCAAGCGUUGUCCGGAAUUAUUGGGCGUAAAGCGCGCGCAGGCGGCCUAUCCAGUCUGUCUUAAAAGUUCGGGGCUCAACCCCGUGAUGGGAUGGAAACUAGUAGGCUAGAGUAUCGGAGAGGAAAGCGGAAUUCCUAGUGUAGCGGUGAAAUGCGUAGAUAUUAGGAAGAACACCAGUGGCGAAGGCGGCUUUCUGGACGAAAACUGACGCUGAGGCGCGAAAGCCAGGGGAGCGAACGGGAUUAGAUACCCCAGUAGUCCCUGUCUCUUAUACA
This 301-nucleotide ribosomal RNA is filed under the name uncultured bacterium. RNAcentral's name for it is "partial 16S ribosomal RNA". It matches the Rfam family "Bacterial small subunit ribosomal RNA", at positions 509 to 809 of the family's 1533-position model. The record is from RNAcentral.